RNAcentral lists this transfer RNA (63 nucleotides) under Leptogaster longicauda. RNAcentral describes it as "tRNA-Leu". The record is from RNAcentral. Lineage: Eukaryota; Metazoa; Arthropoda; Insecta; Diptera; Asilidae.
ACUAUUUUGGCAGAUUAGUGUAAUAGAUUUAGAAUUUAUAUAUGUAGAAAACUACAAAUAGUA